UGUCACCCAGGCUAGAGUGCAGUUGCGCGAUCUCGGCUCACAGCAACCUCUGCCUCCCGGGAUCAAGCGAUUCUCCUGCCUCAACCUCCUGAGUAGCUGGGACUACAGGCAUGUGCCACCACACCCAGCUAACUUUUUUUGUAUUUUUAGUAGAGGUGUUUCACCAUGUUAGCCAGGAUGGUCUUGAUCUCCCGACCUCAUGAUCCGCCAGCCUUGGCCUCCCAAAGUGCUGAGAUUACAGGCGUGAGCCACUGCGUCCAGCCAAGAAUUCAAUUUUUAAAAUGGGGCUGCAAAAAGGGACUCUAAAUAAGUACUCUGGAAGCCAGGUGUCAAGUUUCAGUUUACUACUAGCUGUGUUACCUUGGGCAAGUCACUUAACCUCUGAAUCUCAGACAAAGCAAGGAGCAAUAAAUACUUCUAGGUUCUUUUUUUUUUUUUUUUUUUUUGGAGACAAGUUUUCUCUUGUUGUCCAGGCUGGAGCCCAAUGGCGCAAUCUCGGCUAACUGCUGCCUCUGCCUCCCGUGUUCAAGUGAUCUUCCUGCCUCAGCUUCCCGAGUAGCUGGGAUUACAGGUGCCUGCCACCAUACCCGGCAAUUUUAUUUUUAUUUUUUUUUGAAGACAGAGUUUUGCUCUUGUUGCCCAGGCUAGAGUGUAGUGGGUGAUCUCAGCUCACUGCAACCUCUGUGUCCUGGGUUCAAGUGAUUCUCCUGCUUCAGCCUCCCGAGUAGCUGGGAUUACAGGCACUCACCAACACACCCAGCUAAUUUUUUGCAUUUUUAGUAGCGAGGGGGUUUCACCAUGUUGGCCAGGCUGGUCUGGAACUCCUGAACUGAAGUGAUCCACCCACCUCAGCCUCCCAAAGUGCUGGGAUUACAGGCGUGAACCACCAUGUCCGGUCCUAGGUUCUAUUCUAAUUCUAAAAGUUUCAUUAUCUCAUAGGGGUAGUAAAUAGAUUGUACUUUUUUUUAAGAUAUGGGGGAGGUAGUAAUCCAACAUUUUGAUAUGGGGGAGGUAGUAAUCCAACAUUUUGUAAAACACGGCAACUUUUUUGUGGACUUGAUUUUCUUCUUUUUUUUUUUUUGAGACGGAGUCUCACUCUGUCGCCCAGGCUGGAGUGCAGUGGUGCGAUCCCAGCUCACUGCAAGCUUCGCCUCCUGGUUUCACGCCAUUCUCCUGCCUCAGCCUCCCUAGUAGCUGGGACUACAGGCACCCGCCACCACGCCUGGCUAAUUUUUUUGUAUUUCUUUUUUUUUAGUAGAGAUGGGGUUUUGUCAUGUUAGCCAGGAUGGUCUCGAUCUCCUGACCUCAGGUAAUCCGCCCGCCUCGGACUCCCAAAGUGCUGGGAUUGCAGGUGUGAGCCACCGUGCCCGACCGUGGACUUGAUUUUCAAAUGCAGUGGACCCUUGAACAACACGGGUUUAAGCUGCGUGGGCUCACUUAUAUGUGGAUCUUUUUCAACCAAAUGCAGACCGAAACCUGCAUAUAUGGAGGCCCAACUUUUCAUAUAUCCAGGCUGGCGUGCAAUGGUGCGAGCUUAAUGCAACCUCCACCUCCGGGGUUCAAGCGAUUCUCCUGCCUCAGCCUCCAGAGUAGCUGGGAUUACAGGUGUAUGCCACCACACCCAGCUAAUUUUGUAUUUUUACUAGAGACGGGGUUUCAGCAUGUUGGCCAGGCUGGUCUGAAAGUAAACUUUUCCAUAUAGCUAAUUGAUUCCAUUUAAAGAUCUUUUAUUCUGAGAGAUUCUGUUCUUUCAAAUUGUUUGAAUGGAAAUAUCCUUUUGUUAAAUGAAAUGAUGGUGAUAGGAGAUAGUGGUGUGUUACUGUUUUUAUUGGCUGUACCUGGUAGAAGUAAAAAAUCAGCAUUUCUAUUGUAGCCUCCUAACUGGGGGGAAAUAUUUCUUUAGAAACCUAAAAGUCUGGAACUUUCCAUCAUUAUGCCUCCCCAGAAUAAUAGAGGACUUUACACACAGAUUACACAUGCCCCUCAAGAUUCUCUCAUUAAUCUCUACCUUAUUCUGUUUGGAUUAAGACAUUUAGGGAUUGUGAAAUGAGAAUAAAGUGAAUUUAAGCAAUCCAAAACCACAUGCUGACUCUGGGUCCUCAAAGAUUGCUUUCUUCAGAAUCUUUUUCAUGUGUUAACUUUCCUCUGGGCUCAAACUUUCUUUUCCUAAAACAGUCACAUCUUUGAGUAUUACUGCUACAUGGCAAUCACUAUCAGAAUAAACUAACUUGAGGCAUCCAAUAAUCAGCUUUCAUUUAAAGUCUCUUUCAGCUUGACAAAAUAAAAACUUUCAAUGAUGUUGUGUCUACCACUUCCAAAAGAAAAUUAGUCUAUAUCCGUACAUAUAUAUGUGAUUAUAUAUGUAUACGUACAUAUGUGAUUUUGAUCAGCCUGUUUAUAAACUACUUGCAAAACAAGCUGAUUUGUAAAUUCAUUUAUUAAAUGAGUAGUUUAUAAAGUACUUGAUUUUUGCAAGCAGUUUAUAAACAGGCUGAUCAAACUGAACAAAUUUCUUAAUUUCACUGUAUAGAUAGCAAAUAAAUUAUUUACUCUUAUUGGCAUAUCUUAUUUUUACCCACCCUCCUUUUGCAAGCUUCUAAGUUAAACUAUUUUAUGUCCACAGCUACACAAUGAAACAUCACUUUCAGUCACAACAUAUUAAAUUCACAUUUAAAACUAUAAAGAGAUCCAGUUACCUUUAGUCUUACAUGUACUUAUAUAUAUUUUUAAUAUACUACUUGAUGUUUUAUGGUGCAAAAACACACAGCUCUUGCAGGAUGCAUUAACUAUGAAAAUAUUUAGAGUGUAUGCUUAUUAAAUGGUUCAAAACUCUCUUUUUAAAAGAAA
Molecule: long non-coding RNA, 2847 nt
Filed under: Homo sapiens (human)
Lineage: Eukaryota; Metazoa; Chordata; Mammalia; Primates; Hominidae
Description: HSALNT0123485
Source: RNAcentral